This 1289-nucleotide long non-coding RNA is filed under the name Olea europaea subsp. europaea. The record is from RNAcentral. Lineage: Eukaryota; Viridiplantae; Streptophyta; Magnoliopsida; Lamiales; Oleaceae.
AUCAGGUCUUAAAUAAAUUUUAAUAACUAAAACUAAUAAAAAUAUAUUUACAAAAUGUCUUCUCUCUUCCCACUCUCAUAUCUUUCCCAACAUUUCUGUCUUCUCUCUCUACCGACUCUCAUCUCUCUCUCUCUAAAAUCACCGCUUCCUGCCAUUCUCUCUCUCUCUCUCUACACCAACCCUUCUUUGGCAAACAACUCCAGUGUUGAGGCACGACAUCAAAGUGGAUGCACGGAUGUGUCUCUUCGCCUAAGUGGAUGAGCUAGGAUGGUCACACCGUCGGUGGAGUUGAGGCGCGGCGAUAUGGACUAAACUCUUAUUCGGCGUUUCUGAUUACAGCAACGAUUUGGACUUUUUGUGCAGUGUUACGGACUUUUGUGUGGUUUUACGGAUCGUAUGAUUUUUUGGUAAAUUUUUCGACAUGUUUUGUUGUGAUUUUUGAGAUGAUUAUUGUGCUGUGGUGGUGGUGACGGCUUGUUUGUGGGUUUUUUUGGUGGGGAUGGUGGUUGGGUACGGUUUAAAUGGAGAGAGGAGAGAUGGUGGUGGUGGUGUUCUGGGGGUGGUGCGGUGGUGGUGGCGGCGGGUUUGUGGAAUUUUUGGUGGUGGUGGUGGUGGUUGGGUGUGGUUUAAAUGGAGAUAGAGGAGAUGGUGGUGGUGAGGUCGGCGGUGGCAGCAGAGACACGGUGGAUGAGGAAGGCCAAUGUAGUGCCAGAUAAUUGAAUCUUCUCAAUUGAAAAGUCCUCCAUUACUUCGAUUGUGUGUUUGCUGGUAGAAGAGAAGGAAAGAGAGAUCUUGCCUCUUUUAAGCAAUUGUCACAAAUUUACGGUUGGCAAAAAUGUAGUGGCCUGUCCUUCAUCCAGCCUUGUCUUCUGGGGCUAGAAAACAUCAUUUUUAUCUCGAUUAUUACUUUGAAACAGGAGCAAAUUAUGAUACGGGUCGCGAUGAGUGCAUAUUUGUUUGUGGUGACCCCAUGUGACCAAAUUUGUAUUUGUUGUGACUAUUUGUGACGAAUUUUGUGUUGAUUGUGAUAUGAGAUUGACCUUCUCACAGACAGUCACACUGAAUGUAAUUUUGGUCAUUGUUAGUCACAUCGAAAACAGAGUUGGUCACGGUUAAUCACAGAUAAUGUGGGUCAAUAAAUUGAUUACAUACAAUCACAAAUUAAACGAUCACAUAGAGUCACACUGAAAAUAAUUUCGAUCACAAAUAGUUACAUAUAAUUCAUCUUAUCUGAUUAGGUCAAAGAUCUAAUAAAAUUGGUUACAUGUCACAGAUUUAAUGAAACUGAU